GUGAACGCUGGCGGUAGGCCUAAUACAUGCAAGUCGAACGGCAGCACAGUAAGAGCUUGCUCUUACGGGUGGCGAGUGGCGGACGGGUGAGGAAUACAUCGGAAUCUACUUUUUCGUGGGGGAUAACGUAGGGAAACUUACGCUAAUACCGCAUACGACCUACGGGUGAAAGCAGGGGAUCUUCGGACCUUGCGCGAUUGAAUGAGCCGAUGUCGGAUUAGCUAGUUGGCGGGGUAAAGGCCCACCAAGGCGACGAUCCGUAGCUGGUCUGAGAGGAUGAUCAGCCACACUGGAACUGAGACACGGUCCAGACUCCUACGGGAGGCAGCAGUGGGGAAUAUUGGACAAUGGGCGCAAGCCUGAUCCAGCCAUACCGCGUGGGUGAAGAAGGCCUUCGGGUUGUAAAGCCCUUUUGUUGGGAAAGAAAAGCAGCAGGUUAAUACCCCGCUGUUCUGACGGUACCCAAAGAAUAAGCACCGGCUAACUUCGUG
RNAcentral lists this ribosomal RNA (491 nucleotides) under uncultured bacterium. RNAcentral's name for it is "partial 16S ribosomal RNA". It matches the Rfam family "Bacterial small subunit ribosomal RNA", at positions 29 to 507 of the family's 1533-position model. The record is from RNAcentral.